GAUGAACGCUGGCGGCGUGCCUAAUACAUGCAAGUCGAGCGAAAAGACGAGGAGCUUGCUACUCUGACGUUAGCGGCGGACGGGUGAGUAACACGUGGAUAACCUACCUAUAAGACUGGGAUAACUUCGGGAAACCGGAGCUAAUACCGGAUAAUAUAUUGAACCGCAUGGUUCAAUAGUGAAAGACGGUUUUGCUGUCACUUAUAGCUGGCUCCGCGCCGUAUUGGCUAGUUGGUAAGGUAACGGCUUCCCAAGGCAGCGAUGCGUAGCCGACCUGAGAGGGUGAUCGGCCACACUGGGACUGAGACGCGGUCCUGACACCUACGGGAGGCAGCAGUAGGUAAGGGUCCGCAAUGGGCGAAAGCUUGACGGAGCAACGCCGCGUUAGUGAUGAAGGGCUGCGGAUCGGAAAACUCUGUUAGGAGUGAAGACCAAUUGUGGAAGGAACUAUGCACGUCGUGACGGUACCUAAUCAGAAAGCAACGGCUAACUACGUG
Molecule: ribosomal RNA, 497 nt
Filed under: uncultured bacterium
Lineage: Bacteria
Description: partial 16S ribosomal RNA
Rfam family: Bacterial small subunit ribosomal RNA
Source: RNAcentral